AGUGGCGGACGGGUGAGUAACGCGUGGGCAACCUACCCCACGACAGGGGGACAACAGUUGGAAACGACUGCUAAUACCGCAUAGGCGCACAGCUUCGCAUGAAGCAGUGUGGAAAACCGAGGUGGUGUGGGAUGGGCCCGCGUCUGAUUAGCUAGUUGGCGGGGUAACGGCCCACCAAGGCGACGAUCAGUAGCCGGCCUGAGAGGGUGGACGGCCACAUUGGGACUGAGACACGGCCCAAACUCCUACGGAAGGCAGCAG
Molecule: ribosomal RNA, 261 nt
Filed under: uncultured bacterium
Lineage: Bacteria
Description: partial 16S ribosomal RNA
Rfam family: Bacterial small subunit ribosomal RNA
Source: RNAcentral